GACGAGGGUCGGGCUGCAAGAACAUGCUCGAACGGAAGGAGGGGCGGUGUUAUCCUUCCAACCAAUCGGGGAGACACAGUGACGGGACUGGAAUUCGAACCUCCUUCGGAACGUGUGACGGGCGGGGUUAGUGCUCCAACCAAUCAGUACACGGGAAGGCGGGUCUAACAACGUGACCAGAGCAUGCGCCGUAGGCGUGAUGGAGCCAGAAUGUUGUUCUCUGGAUUGAAGGGAGGUCUCUUGUCUGUCCAUUCUUUUUAUAGAGCAUUCAAUGGGAAGGAUUCCCAAAUCAUCAAUUUCAACCCGAUAUCACAGCAAAGUCUAACAGAGUCACUCUUUUCAGCAGUAUCUCAGUGUCAUCGGUCUUUCACCGUGCAAGACAUUGCUGUCUAAGCCAGAAUAUACUGCCCAUCUAUGAUUGCUAAGGGGGCUGUCAAGAGUCAACUGCAUUGUUGUUGGGUUGGAGUCACAUGUAGGCCAGACCAGGCAAUUAGACAGUAAGUUCAAAUCAAAUGUGAGAUCAAGAGCUGCCAGCAGUGUUCAGUUCUCAGGACCUGAGUAUCACCAGCCUUGGAAUAUGGAAGGAAAAAGCAUCGUUCACAGUGAAGAGAAACUGUACAGGUGGUCUGUGUGUGGACAAGGCUUCAGUCAAUCGUCUGGACUGUCGCUAUGUAAAUGCAAUCACAAUAAGGAAACAACAAUUGUGCUAAGCAGCACUUGCUUUGCAAUAUCAUGCUCAUAAAUCUCAGUUUCAGUUAAGCAAGAUUCACUCAA
Long non-coding RNA from Rhincodon typus (whale shark), 774 nucleotides. RefSeq lists it as uncharacterized. The record is from RefSeq and is a predicted model, not a curated record. The transcript has 3 exons. Lineage: Eukaryota; Metazoa; Chordata; Chondrichthyes; Orectolobiformes; Rhincodontidae.